GUGAGCUGCGUGUGCUGCGGGAAGCGUGCGCGUCGGGCGCCAGACACGCGCGCCCGUUUUCCGAAGUUUGUGGAGCUAGCCGAUCGGUACUCGUGCACACGCUCUGUGCGCGAGGCGCACGUGUAGACUGUCAACAGAAUACCACACCUCGUACUAACGGCACACAAUAUUUACUGGCCGCGGUUUCCUGCUCUAGCGAGAGACAAAGCAGGUGGUCGCUUGCCAGACGCCGCGCGCCGGCUGAGUGGGCCAAGCUGCGCUCAUUUCCGCCUCGAGAGCGGCGGCUGCAGACGGGGAAGACAACUACUCCUCCGUCUGCCUGAGGCUUGCUGGCGGCCGAGGUUCACUUGCGGGCGGCCCUACUGACAGCGUCCUAUCUUCUGACAUGUCCAGCUUAAACUUUCCGCACGAGACACUUCCUGUGAACGUAUUGCUGGGACUACUAAGUCACUAACCAGUUUCCUACCAUACUUCCAGUGUGUCUAAGCGAGUGAAACAAAUACCGACGUCAUAGCUUACUAAUCCUCCAAGGUGAAGGAGAGGUGACAGACACAGCGUAGGCAUACAAUAUGUAGUUCUCAGCAAACGUCGUGCUUUCAUUCCAGUGGCUAUUGAAAACCUCUCUUCCAACAGCUCGCAAAGUAUCAGGAAAAGCUAAUGAAAGGAAAGUACACAGAAUUUGGUACUUCAUAUUCCACGUAACAGAGACGGAAAAAUGCGGAUUGACCUCUGUUGCAUUUAAAUGUUAGAACUCUGCGACGUGCGUUCGUCAUACAGGAAGGUCUUCCAGUUUUAACUGAACAGGGAGAACGGAGGAAUUAUAGAGGAGACUCUCGUGGGUUAACACAAACGUACACUGGAGGAAGGACCCAAGGAUUACGGCGACGGCAAUGGAUGAAGUAAGUCACGUUCGUCUCGACUGACCAGACCAUCGACAACGGCAUAUUAUGGUGGCGGCCACAGUUGGAGGAAUGUCCCUCGUUGCCUGCGCAGCCAUCUUCGUGCAACUCGCGUCCAUGUCUUCAGUAGCUCUGCAAAGUCACCCACAGUCGACGACAUCUCUGAGCGCACUGGCGCUGGUGUCCGGCUCGGGGUCGGCGGCGGCGGCGACGCCUGGCAAGCUGCG
Schistocerca nitens (vagrant locust) is the source of this 1126-nucleotide long non-coding RNA. RefSeq lists it as uncharacterized. NCBI's taxonomy places the organism in Eukaryota, Metazoa, Arthropoda, Insecta, Orthoptera, Acrididae. The record is from RefSeq and is a predicted model, not a curated record. The transcript has 3 exons.